Molecule: long non-coding RNA, 3738 nt
Organism: Oncorhynchus tshawytscha (Chinook salmon)
Lineage: Eukaryota; Metazoa; Chordata; Actinopteri; Salmoniformes; Salmonidae
Source: Ensembl
UUGUCCUCUUGUUAUGCCACCGAGUCGUUGUCCUCUUGUUAUGCCACCGAGUCGUUGUCCUCUUGUUAUGCCACCGAGUCGUUGUCCUCUUGUUAUGCCACCGAGUCGUUGUCCUCUUGUUAUGCCACCGAGUCGUUGUCCUCUUGUUAUGCCACCGAUAGACGUUAGAGAGGUAUUUAUAACCUGUCAAAGUUCACGUUGAUCAACUACAGGUCAAAGUUAUCUACGCAGGUAAGUUAGGCUAACCAGCUAGCCAAAUCUGGUAGUUAUCGUGUCCAGAUUACGUCCACAGGGGCCUCGAAGCCCAGGGGGCCACCAUUGAUUUUAGACAUGUAAAAAUUUGUAGAAUUGGGGUGUGGUACUACCUUUUAUUUAUUUGACCUUUAUUUAAACUAGGCAAGUUGAAGAACAAAUUCUUAUUUUCAAUGACGCCCUAAAAAAACCUUUGGUUAACUGCCUUGUUCAGGAGCAGAACGGCAGAUUUUUUUACCUUGUCAACUCACGGAUUCAAUCUUGAAAACUUUCGGUUACUAGUCCAAUGCUCUAACCACUAGGCUAGCUGCCACCCCACUAUGUGAUGUGGUGUGGUACCACCACUGCAGAAACACAGGGAUAAGGUGAUCCUUCUCUACCACACCAAAAGAAAAGGGAUAAGGUCACCAACAAUUCUCAGAUUUCCAUACCCAGCUACAACAUUUUCCGUCAAGAUAGAACUGCCAAAGGGGGAGGAGUUGCAAUCUACUGCAGAGAGAGUCUACAAAGUUCUCAUACUUUCCAGGUCUAUACCCAAACAGUUUGAACUUCUAAUUUUAAAAAUUAACCUCUCCAGAAAUAAGUCUCUCACUGUUGCCGCCUGCUAUCGACCCCCCUCCGCUCCCAGGUGUGCCCUGGACACCAUUUGUGAAUUGAUCGUGCCCCAUCUAGCUUCAGAGUUCGUUCUGUUAGGUGACCUAAACUGAGAUAUGCUUAACACCCCGGCAGUCCUCCAAUCUAAGUUAGAUGCCCUCCAAUCUCACACAAAUCAUCAAGGAACCCACCAGGUACAACCCUAAAUCCAUAAACAUGGGCUCCCUCCUAGAAAGUAUCCUGACCAACUUGCCCUCCAAAUACAUCUCCGCUGUUUUCAAUCAGAUCUCAGCGAUCCCUGCCUCAUUGCCUGUAUCCGCUAUGGGUCCGCUGUCAAACGACCACCCCUCAUCACUGAUAAACGCUCCCUAAAACACUUCUGCGAGCAGGCCUUUCUAAUCGACCUGGCCCGGGUAUCCUGGAAGGAUAUUGACCUCAUCCUGUCAGUCGAGGAUGCCUGGUCAUUCUUUAAAAGCAAUUUCCUCAGCAUCUUAGAUAAGCAUGCCCUGUUCAAAAAAUGCAGAACUAAGAACCGAUAUAGCCCUUGGUUCACUCCCGACCUGACUGCCCUUGACCAGCACAAAAACAUCCUGUGGCGGACUGCCAUAGCAUCGAAUAGUCCCCACGAUAUGCAACUGUUCAGGGAAGUCAGGAACCAAUACACGCAGUCAGUCAGGAAAGCAAAGGCCAGCUUUUUCAAGCAGAAAUUCGCAUCCUGUAGCUCCAACUCCAAAAAGUUCUGGGACACUGUGAAGUCCAUGGAGAACAAGAGCACCUCCUCCCAGCUGCCCAGUGCACUGAGGCUAGGUAACACGGUCACCACUGAUAAAUCCAUGAUAAUCAAAAAUGUCAAUAAGCAUUUCUCAACAGCUGGCCAUGCCUUCCUCCUGGCUACUCCAACCCCGGCCAACAGCUCCGCCCCCCCCCGCAGCUACUCGCCCAAGCCUCCCCAGUUUCUCCUUCACCCAUAUCCAGACAGCAGAUGUUCUGAAAGAGCUACAAAACCUGGACCCGUACAAAUCAGCUGGGCUAGACAAUCUGGACCCUCUCUUUCUAAAACUAUCCACCGCCAUUGUUGCAACCCCUAUUACCAGCCUGCUCAACCUCUCUUUCGUAUCGUCCGAAAUCCCUAAAGAUUGGAAAGCUGCCGCGGUCAUCCCCCUCUUCAAAGGGGGUCAUCAUAAACGCCAUCGAGAAAAGACAGUACUGUGCAGCCAUCUUCAUCGUCCUGGCCAAGGCUUUCGACUCUGUCAAUCACCGUAUUCUUAUCGGCAGACUCAAUAGCCUUGGUUUUUCUAAUGACUGCCUCGCCUGGUUCACCAACUACUUUGCAGACAGAGUUCUGUGUGGUAAAUCGGAGGGCACCUCUGGCAGUUUCUAUGGGGGUACCACAGGUUUCAAUUCUCGGGCCGACUCUUUUCUCUGUAUAUAUCAAUGAUGUCGCUCUUGCUGCGGGUGAUUCCCUGUUCCACCUCUACGCAGACGACACCAUUCUGUAUACUUCUGGCCCUUCCUUGGACACUGCUAACUAGCCUCCAAACGAGCUUCAAUGCCAUACAACACUCCUUCCGUGGCCUCCAACUGCUCUAAAACGCUUGUAAAAACCAAAUGCAUGCUUUUCAACCGUUCGCUGCCCACACCCACCCGCCCGACUAGCAUUACCAUCCUGUAUGGUUCCGACCUAGAAUACGUGGACAUCUAUAAAUACCUAGGUGUCUGGCUAGACUGUAAACUCUCCUUCCAGACUCAUAUUAAACCUCUCCAAUCCAAAAUCAAAUCUAGAAUCGGCUAUCUAUUUCGCAAGAAAGCCUCCUUCACUCACGCCGCCAAACUUACCCCAGUAAAACUGACUAUCCUACCGAUCCUCGACUUCGGCGAUGUCAUCUACAAAAUAGCUUCCAACACUCUACUCAGCAAAUUGGAUGCAGUCUAUCACAGUGCCAUCCGUUUUGUCACCAAAUCACCUUAUACCACCCACCACUGCGACCUGUAUGCUGUAGUCGGCUGGCCCUCGCUACAUAUUUGUCGCCAGACCCACUGGCUCCAGGUCAUCUAUAAGUCUAUGCUAGGUAAAGCUCCGCCUUAUCUCAGUUCACUGGUCACGAUAACGACACCCACCCGUAGCACACGUUCCAGCAGGUAUAUCUCACUGAUCAUCCCCAAAGCCAACACCUCAUUUGGCCAGCUUUCCUUCCAGUUCUCUGCUGCCAGUGACUGGAACAAAUUGCUGAAGUUGGAGACUUUUAUUUCCCUCACCAACUUUAAACAUCAACUAUCUGAGCAGCUAACUGAUCGCUGCAGCUGUACAUAGUCCAUCUGUAAAUAGCCCACCCAAUCUACCUACCUCAUCCCCAUACUGUUUUUAUUUUAUUUACUUUUCUGCUCUUUUGCACACCAGUAUCUCUACUUGCACAUCAUCUGCUCAUUUAUCACUCCAGUGUUAAUCUGCUAAAUUGUAAUUAUUCGCUCCUAUCUCAUGCCUUUUGCACACACUGUAUAUAGACUUUCUUUUUUCUACUGUGUCAUUGACUUGUUUGUGUUAUUGCCUUGUUUAUUGUUUACUCCAUGUGUAACUCUGUCUGUCACACUGCUUUGCUUUAUCUUGACCAGGUCGCAGUUGCAAAUGAGAACUUGUUCUCAACUGGCCUACCUGGUUAAAUAAAGGUGAUCUGGUCUACCUGGUUAAAUAAAGGUGAUCUGGCCUACCUGGUUAAAUAAAGGUGAUCUGGCCUACCUGGUUAAAUAAAGGUGAUAUGGCUUACCUGGUUAAAUAAAGGUGAUCUGGUUAAAUAAAGGUGAUCUGGUCUACCUGGUUAAAUAAAGGUGAUCUGGCCUACCUGGUUAAAUAAAGGUGAUCUGGUCUACCUGGUUAAAUAAAGGUGAUAUGGCUUA